UACAGAGGUCUCAAGCGUUGUUCGGAUUCAUUGGGCGUAAAGGGUGCGUAGGCGGCGCGGUAAGUCGGGUGUGAAAUCUUGGAGCUUAACUCCGAAACUGCAUUCGAUACUGCCGUGCUUGAGGACUGGAGGGGAGACUGGAAUUUACGGUGUAGCGGUGAAAUGCGUAGAUAUCGUAAGGAAGACCAGUGGCGAAGGCGGGGCUCUGGACAGUUCCUGACGCUGAGGCACGAAGGCCAGGGGAGCAAACGGG
RNAcentral lists this ribosomal RNA (253 nucleotides) under uncultured bacterium. RNAcentral's name for it is "partial 16S ribosomal RNA". It matches the Rfam family "Bacterial small subunit ribosomal RNA", at positions 524 to 776 of the family's 1533-position model. The record is from RNAcentral.